Molecule: ribosomal RNA, 404 nt
Filed under: Acidobacteriota bacterium
Lineage: Bacteria; Pseudomonadati; Acidobacteriota
Description: Acidobacteria bacterium partial 16S ribosomal RNA
Rfam family: Bacterial small subunit ribosomal RNA
Source: RNAcentral
UGGGGAAUAUUGCACAAUGGGGGGAACCCUGAUGCAGCGACGCCGCGUGAGCGAUGAAGGCUUUCGAGUCGUAAAGCUCUGUCCUAUGGGAAGAUAAUGACGGUACCAUAGAAGAAAGCCCCGGCUAAUUACGUGCCAGCAGCCGCGGUAAUACGUAAGGGGCGAGCGUUGUCCGGAAUUAUUGGGCGUAAAGAGUGCGUAGGCGGCAAAUUAAGUCAGAUGUGAAAACUAAGGGCUCAACCCAUAGAUUGCAUCUGAAACUGAUAUGCUUGAGUCAAGGAGAGGAAAGUGGAAUUCCUAGUGUAGCGGUGGAAUGCGUAGAUAUUAGGAGGAAUACCGGUGGCGAAGGCGACUUUCUGGACUUGAACUGACGCUGAGGCACGAAAGCGUGGGGAGCAAACAGG